Non-coding RNA from Xyrichtys novacula (pearly razorfish), 3780 nucleotides. The record is from the annotation of a GenBank genome assembly. NCBI's taxonomy places the organism in Eukaryota, Metazoa, Chordata, Actinopteri, Labriformes, Labridae.
UGGAAUUGGUACAGCUUCGCGGUUUCGGAUAAAGAGCAAACCACUCCCCGCUGCAAAGUCUGUCUGAAGGCGGUAUUGACUCGUCCACUCGGAAACGAAUUCAGGAGUAAAUGCAAAAGUUUGUUGUGUCUGUGUUUCAUCCACACGGAAAUGGUGUUUUGGAUGAUGUAAAUCGUACCUUUUGAAAGUAGGUCACAGAGUGCAUAAAUCCAUAAAUGACGACCAUUUCAUCUCCGUGUGGAUGCCAAUCCGCAUCUCUGUAAACGAUCAUGUGACAUGCAGUGUAACUCUUUUAUGGCGCCUGUGCGUGUCCGGCCAAAACAACCUUUAUACACAUGCUCUGUACUCUUCUUCUGUCUUUUGUUCAUUUCCUGUGCAGCGUUACAGCGCCACUUACUGGCGUGGCAUAUGCACGCCAUUGUUUUCAGUGGUGUUGUUUUGAGAGAUGAUAGAAAAGCUUUUUUAUUUUUAAAGUGAAGUUUGGUGAAGCUGUCACUGAAUUAAAAAAAAUCUAAAUCUAAAAUAGAGUUUUCAGAGAAAUAAAUUGGGAUUUUAUUUUUGGCCAAAACUGUGCAGCCCUAAUUGCCAUGAAAGCAACCUUUGUUUAAAGUUAUUCUGUACAUUAUUUUCUGCGCAUUUGAGCCUUUGUUUGGCAGCUUUGAUGCAAAAAAGAAGUGUGGUUAUUAAAUAGGAGGUAUCAUAAAAGCGGUGAUAUUUGCAGUUUCCAGGUCUACUGGGGAUUUUCUUUUUUGUGCUGGGAAAAACCUGUCUCUGUGCAGUUAUGUUACUUCAUGUGUGUUUGAAAGGACUGAAUGAAACUCUCAAUGUCCAGUUUUCUCACAGUGGUCUGUGGGAUAGUUGCCAGAGUGGUCCAUGACACCCGUAGCCCUGUAAAGUUUUCAGGGCAGGUGUAAUUCCCUGUAAAACGCCCUAUAAUUUACUGCCCUUUGGGAGCACACUGUCUCAGGGUGUGAAAAUCAAUAGGAUGGCGGAGAGGGAUCGGGCACAGAGUCUAUGCUCAGCCACACUAUAGCUGCAGUUAGGGUAAUUCUGUAAUGGCAGGGGAUGAGGUUCAACCUAUCUAACGCUCUAUCUGAAGCAGAUAAAUGUUUUACAACACCAUCGUUUAACCCUUCCUACCUGCUCCACCCUUCCCCCAACAUCUCUCAGGGCUCAACUCAGGGACCGCCCCUAGAGAUGAGGUCCAUACUGUGGUGUUGGUGGUAGCGAAUGCGUUUGUAACCCUGUGUGUGUGUGUGUGUGUGUGUGUGUGUGUGUGUGUGUGUGUGUGUGUGUGUGUGUGUGUGUGUGUGUGUGUGUGUGUGUGUGUGUGUGUGUGUGUGUGUGUGUGUGUGUGUGUGUGAGUGAGUGCGGGGUUCGCUCCAUCGUCUCCCUGGGUGUGCACUCCGACUCUUAAUGCUCUAUAACCUUGUAAAGAUAGCCUGAGGCAUUUUAGCAUAUAGCUGAUCUUCAAAACCCCCCAGUUGUUUCAGAGGGAAGCCAUGCGGAAAACAUGCAUUGAAUCUUACAAGAUGCUGCAUGUAUAAUGUAGCAUACAGCACAUCAUACGAAGCACUGAAUAUUAUUACCUUAAUUUAGAGCAACAAUAGGAAUCUUAGUGAUAAGAUCCUGAUAGUCAAAACCAAUGUGAUUGAGAAGGACAAUCAUUGAGGACUUGGGCUUCCAAGGGAGAUGACAGAGGAUUACUUCCAGAGUUAAUCAGAGUAUCACGUUAUUGCCUUGAUUUUGUUUCUAAUAAAAGACGGGGUAAAGCUUUUGUGUGAUGUAAGUGUGAUGCAGAGGAAAUGGAGGGAGAUCCCACGCAGACCCCAAAGCCCCGUCUGCAUGACGUGUCUCGGCUUCAGCAGAGACACGCAAUCCACAGUUUCAGAAGAGAGUGCAGAGAUCUCAUUGUGCCUGCCCGGAUUGGCACCAACAGCAAUCACUUGUUUCUGAUUUAUUAGAUAGGCAAGGAAAUUAAUUUUGUUCCAAAAUGCAUGGUCGGAAAUUAGAUGGUGAAAUUGUGUGAAAGAAUCAGUGAUUGUUUUCCCCCCUCUGCUAUCCCUCCGGAGGUACUGAUAACUGCUGAUCUCUGUGACACCAUUAAUGAAAAACUUAUUCAGAUUCCAGAAGAAAAAAUACCUUCAGCAAUGUAGUAAUUAACUUGCCUUUCACUCCAGUCUAUAACAGGAUUUGAACCACCCAUUAAGAUUCCUCCGAAAAACUGACCACUAGCACCCAGGUCAUGGCUGGCUAGUGAUCCUGGGAAGUUCUGCCCUCCAAUGUACAUCCUAUUCACUUGUGAGACUGAUAAGCUGGUUUAGCUUUAGCUCUGUUAGAUUUAAGUUAAUCAAAAUACUCCAAGAAAAAAAGCAAUAAUAGACUGUGGUAGGACUGGACGAUUAUGGCAAAAAUAAUAAUCAUGAUUAUUUUGACUGAUAUUGGAAUCAGGAUUAAUAAACACGAUUAAAUUGAGUAUUGAUUGAACCACCAAAACUUAACUUUUAAUUUAACUUAAAAGAACAGUCAGAAAUGAUCACAAUGUUUUUUCAGCACAGGAACUGAAAUACAGCCCCCAAAAAGAGGACAUGUCCGAGUAAAAGAGGACAUGUCCGAGUAAAAGAGGACGUAUGGUCACCCUACAUGAAACAGAGACAAGUCAAAGACGCGGCAGAAGCAGCAACUAGCUAGCGAACAGUGGCAGCCUUCCCAGAGAUGUUCAGACACAUCAAAAACUGAUAUUUCAAGAUUUGUUGUAGAGCAAAAAAAUAUCAGAUCUUGUUUUUUCUUAAUAUUUAUACUUUUUAACUGGACUUUCAGCUGUUUUCUUUCAGUUCCUAAACUUCCUUAAAGUAGAAUAAAAGCAGAAAAUAGAACAAUCUAAAACCUAAACACUAAAAAUGUUAAAAUAAAAGUAUGAAAAUCAUUUUUUUGAGGCAGUCUCUAAAAUCAUUUCUGUUUAUGGGGCUGAGAUAAAACAUAUCUUUAAAUAUUAAAUAAAAUAUAAAUAGUAUCCUAGCUAAAACAUGGUUAUAUAACAACUCAGACAGGUAAGAUGGUACCAGCCUAUGAAAAAGUUCACUAACUAACUGAAAGUGUUAAAGAUCUGAGUAACACAGGAGGCAAAUGGACAUUUUUAUUGUACCUCUGCAUUGUAUUUUGAUGAUCGUGUCAAAUUAUUUCCCAUUGUGGUUACACUUCAUCAUGACCAUCUCCAUGCAUGAUUAAGUUCAUUAUCUGCCACAGUAUGUAUCUGCAGCUAAUCGCUAAUGUAGUCUCAGUGUGACACAGCUGACUGUGAAGAAUACCUGUCCCACAUUUUUACUCAGCCACCUUUUUUUUUGACCGUGAAAAAAUGUCUCUGCCAUGGCUGUGCAAAAUGAGCUGACGUUGAGUGUGAAAGAGGUUGGUAUUUCACAAUGAUAGUACAUUUUCUUAAACUUAAUGGUAGUAAAAGCAGAAAAGCAGCCUGCCAUCUCUCUCCCUCACCUAUCAGCCACAUUGUUACCUGUCUACUUUGUCACUUAGCGAGGUUCAGUUGCUCGAUAAAUGUGCAUAAAAAAGCUAGACAAGCUUGUUUAUUUUGAUCAUUUAUCCACAGAAACAGUGACAGACAACCAUAAACAUAAAGCGUAAGCAACCACGCAACUUUAUUCCACCACACUACCAUAAAUUCAUACUAAUACUUCUUUAACAUCUGAAAAUUUACUUGUAUAACCCCGGGUUCAUGACUGCUUUCUCGCUGAGGCUCUUCCACCAUUUUCCCAAGAUUGAAUGCAA